Molecule: ribosomal RNA, 505 nt
Filed under: uncultured bacterium
Lineage: Bacteria
Description: partial 16S ribosomal RNA
Rfam family: Bacterial small subunit ribosomal RNA
Source: RNAcentral
GACGAACGCUGGCGGCGUGCCUAAUACAUGCAAGUAGAACGCACAGUUGAUACCGUAGCUUGCUACACCAUAGACGGUGAGUUGCGAACGGGUGAGUAACGCGUAGGUAACCUGCCUGGUAGCGUGGGAUAACUAUUGGAAACGAUAGCUAAUACCGCAUAGUAUUGAUUAUUGAUGGAUAAGUAAUAGAAAGUGGAAAUGGGACGACUACGAUAGGGACCUACGUGCUAUUAGCUGGUAGGUGGGGUAACGGCGCACCUAGGCGAUGGUACAUAGCCGACCUGCGAGGGUGGUCGGCCACACUGGGAGUGAGACACGGCCCAGCCUCCUACGGGCGGCAGCAGUAGGGAAUCUUCGGCAAUGGACGGAAGUCUGACCGAGCAACGCCGCGUGAGUGAAGAAUGUUGUCGGAUCGUAAAGCUCUGUUGUACGAGAAGAACGGGUGUGAGAGUGGAAAGUUCACAGUGUGACGGUAUCUUACCAGAAAGGGCCGGCUAACUACGUG